This 267-nucleotide ribosomal RNA is filed under the name uncultured soil bacterium. RNAcentral's name for it is "partial 16S ribosomal RNA". It matches the Rfam family "Bacterial small subunit ribosomal RNA", at positions 26 to 281 of the family's 1533-position model. The record is from RNAcentral.
AGAAUCAACGCUGGCGGCGUGCCUAACACAUGCAAGUCGAACGCGGUUACCUCGCAAGGGGUGACUGAGUGGCGAACGGGUGAGUAACACGUGGGUGACCUACCUUCGAGUGGGGGAUAACGUCCCGAAAGGGACGCUAAUACCGCAUAACAUCCUGCCUUUGAACAGGCGGAGAUCAAAGCUGGGGAUCGCAAGACCUGGCGCUUGAUGAGGGGCCCGCGUCCGAUUAGCUAGUUGGUGAGGUAACGGCUCACCAGGGCGACGAUC